Non-coding RNA from Styela clava, 734 nucleotides. The record is from RefSeq and is a predicted model, not a curated record. NCBI's taxonomy places the organism in Eukaryota, Metazoa, Chordata, Ascidiacea, Stolidobranchia, Styelidae.
GAUAAUGCAGUAAUGCAUCUUACUAUAGAUUUCCUAAAAAUUGUGUGACUAUAUUUAUAUAUAUAGUGCUGUAGUGAUAGUCACUUGCUACUAAAAACACAUUACCAUGAGAUAUCUAGAGAUGAUGUAAAAGAUAUUUGCGGUUAUCUCUUAGGACAGUACGGCACACUUCACAGAUCAAGUUAUAAUCGGAACUAGUGAUUUUGGAUAAUUAAACCAACAAAAAGCGAAAGGAUUCCACCACCUAAGUAUGCAUCAACUACGAGAUAUCAACAAGACAAACCCAAAAAUCUUGUCCCGUCGUCAGCGCCAGGCCCCUCAUCUUCUCCACCGAAAAGGGAGCGAAUAAUUCGACGAACUUCGCCAUUGAAGGAUUAUAAUUCUCAUGACAACACUAUUAAAUUAAUGAAAAUGCCACAAGAGGGUGACAGAAAAGAUUUGAGUGUUUGGGAAGAUUGGUUGAUCAAAAAGUUACAACAGGAGAGAGAAGACUAAAAUACAGAGACAAGUUGAAAAAGAAGUAAAAGAAAGAGAGGAAAGAAAAAGAAUGGAAAAGGAAGAUUUAAAGAAAGAGCUGAAUUAAAACAUCAGCAGUUGGUGUGAAGAAAAGUUAUUGAAGAUGAAGUUACAGACGAAAAUUGACAAGCGUGAACAAAUGUUUGAAGAAGAAAUGAAAGUUCAAGAAAAACGAGAAAUUGAGAGAAAAUCGAAACAAGCGUACGAGAGAUGGGUGG